GGAAGCGGGGCGGCUAUACUGCAGUCGAGCGGAAGAUGGGAGCUUGCUCCCUGAUGUUAGCGGCGGACGGGUGAGUAACACGUGGGUAACCUGCCUGUAAGACUGGGAUAACUCCGGGAAACCGGGGCUAAUACCGGAUGGUUGUCUGAACCGCAUGGUUCAGACAUAAAAGGUGGCUUCGGCUACCACUUACAGAUGGACCCGCGGCGCAUUAGCUAGUUGGUGAGGUAACGGCUCACCAAGGCGACGAUGCGUAGCCGACCUGAGAGGGUGAUCGGCCACACUGGGACUGAGACACGGCCCAGACUCCUACGGGAGGCAGCAGUAGGGAAUCUUCCGCAAUGGACGAAAGUCUGACGGAGCAACGCCGCGUGAGUGAUGAAGGUUUUCGGAUCGUAAAGCUCUGUUGUUAGGGAAGAACAAGUGCCGUUCAAAUAGGGCGGCACCUUGACGGUACCUAACCAGAAAGCCACGGCUAACUACGUGCCAGCAGCCGCGGUAAUACGUAGGUGGCAAGCGUUGUCCGGAAUUAUUGGGCGUAAAGGGCUCGCAGGCGGUUUCUUAAGUCUGAUGUGAAAGCCCCCGGCUCAACCGGGGAGGGUCAUUGGAAACUGGGGAACUUGAGUGCAGAAGAGGAGAGUGGAAUUCCACGUGUAGCGGUGAAAUGCGUAGAGAUGUGGAGGAACACCAGUGGCGAAGGCGACUCUCUGGUCUGUAACUGACGCUGAGGAGCGAAAGCGUGGGGAGCGAACAGGAUUAGAUACCCUGGUAGUCCACGCCGUAAACGAUGAGUGCUAAGUGUUAGGGGGUUUCCGCCCCUUANUGCUGCAGCUAACGCAUUAAGCACUC
This 849-nucleotide ribosomal RNA is filed under the name Bacillus amyloliquefaciens. Its description in RNAcentral is "bacterial SSU rRNA". It matches the Rfam family "Bacterial small subunit ribosomal RNA", at positions 35 to 869 of the family's 1533-position model. The record is from RNAcentral. Lineage: Bacteria; Bacillati; Bacillota; Bacilli; Caryophanales; Bacillaceae.